This 3634-nucleotide long non-coding RNA is filed under the name Zea mays. RNAcentral's name for it is "long non-coding RNA (ZMAY_LNC002916)". Lineage: Eukaryota; Viridiplantae; Streptophyta; Magnoliopsida; Poales; Poaceae. The record is from RNAcentral.
CUCUGGUUCCCAUGCCCGCGCGCUCUCGCUCUGGUUUCUGUGCCUUCACCCUUGCAUCCUCGCUGCCGUGUACAUCUCGCGCCCUCCCGGGUUUCCUGUGCCCUUGUGACCUCGCCGCCAUGUACAGCCCCUGCCGCCGCCUUCUUCCCUCGCAUCAUCGUGUUCCCAGCCAACAGAGGCUGAGAAAUUUGAGGUGUAGACCGGAUCUGUAGAGAGCAUUCAUCUUUCCCAGUUUACGCCAGGCAGGGUGCUUGAGUGGAAUUCGUUCAAUCUGGUGAGUAAAUUUUAUCCUUGUCUGCAUACGUGCUUAAUUUGGUUGUGUAUGCAGUGCAGGAUGUAGUCUAAUAUAACCCAGAUGAAGAUAAAUUUGUUCCUGUUUCAAUGGUGUUUGUCGUGCAAGAUAUUAACUGUAAUAUAACCAUUUCAUGGUGUCUGCAGUGCAACAUAAUAUUGGUUUUAUAUGUUUACUUACAAGUACAAUCAGAAACUUGGAAACUGUAACGGAGACGUUGUUUCAUGUGAACUUGGAACUUGUCAUGUUGUUCCAGUAAGUUUCUGUCUCCAAGAUUAAGGUUUCUUAUUUAUGCUAUAAAUUCAUACUGGGGAAUAGGGAUUGCCUGCAGAACUAGCUGUGAAGCAAAGAUGGUUCUAUUUAUAGCUAUCUUUACUAAUAGCUACUAAAUGUGGCCAUGCUUGUAAAACGCACGAUAUUUUCAGUUUGAGUUCCAAUAUUCAGUUCUGUUGCCAGAUUUCAGUUUGUUCAGAUUUUGCUUUAUCUGUUCCAGUAUUUAGUUUUGUUGCUUCGAAGGGAGAUGUCUACCAUUUGGAGAUCCUGCUCCAGUUUCUUUACUUGUUUAUUAAUCUGCAGAUUCCUGAGCGCCAUGUUUCUUUCUUUGUAUCUUUGUUUACUAAGCUAGGAGCUACAAGCCGACCGGGAAACUGCGGUAAGCCAGCAGGGAAAUUCUUCCUUAUGAGUUAGUAGGCUCAGCUGCAACUUUGUGGUUAAAACUCUGCAGGUCCCAUGCAUUUUUUUUUAUUAUGGAAACAAAAUGUUCCACCCUUUUGCAAUCUCUUACAUACGGCCUUACAAAUCGAAAAAAAACAAUCAUCCAUCGUAAACAUUCUUUGAAAUAAAACAUCAACAAAUCAAGCUCCUUUUAAUCUAGCAUUGGACCUCCAUCCAUGGCUUGCAAAGAUCUCCAUAGCCACCACCUCUAAGGAUCGACAUACAACAAGGAUCUCGUGUUGAGGUUGUUCUUUCUGCAACAAUCUCCAGAAUCUGAGCCAGUAUGUUGCCCUGAAAAGAACCUGCAUAAUUGAUGGUUUUGGUUUAAAAGUAAAAACAACAUUAUUGCGACAAAGCCAAAUAGGCCAAAACAUUGCCGCCACUCCAAUUAGAAGUUUUUUUCUAUGUGUUGUUCCCUUGUUAGCAAUCCAGGACCCAAUUAUAUGAUUAAUAUUGUUCGGUCUCUCUAUAUUUAAGGCAAAGUAAAUAAUUCUCCAAAUAUUUCUAGCAAGGUAACAAUCAAAAAACAGAUGUUGAAUAGACUCAUUUUGAUUACAAAAUCUGCAUUUUAAACAACCUUUCCAACCUCGCUUAGCUAAAUUGUCUUUGGUGAGAGUAACUCCCCUGCCUAAAUACCACAAGAAAAUCUUAAUUUUCAGAGGAAGAUUUAGACUCCAAAGUAUAUUGCGAUUUACAGGGGGAGAAUUCAUUAAAAGAAAGUACAUUGAGCGAACUGAGAAAAGUCCAUCUUUGUGAGCCCCCCAAAUGAAUUUGUCUCUCAGUUCUUCUAAAGAAACGGUUGCCAUCAAAUUUAAUAAAUUAUGCCACUCAACCUGCUUCACUCCGAUAAUAGAUCUACGAAAGGAUAGGUUGGGUAUAUUUCCAUUCAUAACAUCAUUGACUAAAACAUUCUUUUUACGCACAAUAUUAAAAAGGUUCGGACAAUGGUCCUUAAGUGGCCUAUCGAGGAUCCAUCUAUCCUCCCAGAACCUAGUCAUUUGACCGUCACCUACAUCGAACCUCCCCCUGCUCAAGAAACUUUCUUUAAUUUUCAUGAGUCCAGACCAGAAAUGCGAGUCUCCAGAUUUUCUCACUAUUUGAGUAAGUGAUUUGGAUCCGAAGUAUUUAUUUUUCAAAAUUUCCUGCCAUUUACCGUUCUCAUUUAGUAACUUAAAGAGCCAUUUGCUAAGUAAACAAACAUUCUUAAUGGCAAGGUUGGCAACCCCCAAACCACCGAUCUCUUUAGGUUGACAAAUAGUCUUCCACUUUGUUAGUCUAUAUUUCUUUUUCGAAUGUCCGCCUUGCCAAUAGAAGCGAGAACGAAUGGCAUCUAAUUUUUGUAACACCCCCGCCGGCACCUCAAAAAAGGACAUCAUGAAAAUGGGUAGGCUGCUCAAAAAUGAAUUAAUUAGCACAAGACAUCCACCAGAAGAAAGUAAUUUACUUUUCCAGGAACUUAAUCUUUUUUUGAAUCUAUCAAUAACACUCUGCCAUUCACUAUUUCGUAACCUACGAUGGGUCAUAGGAAUCCCGAGAUAUUUGAAAGGUAAUGAACCAAUCCCGCAACCAAAAAGAUGAGAGUAAUUUAGAUCAUACUCCUUAGCUAAACCAUAGCAAAAAAGCUCGCUUUUGUGAAAGUUGAUUUUUAAACCCGACAUUUGUUCGAAAGCGGUCAGGAGUAAUUUCACGUUACGCGCAUGUUCCAAGUUACGAUCCAUAAAAACAACAGUAUCGUCCGCAUAUUGAAGGAUAGAAAGUCCCCCUUCCAUUAGGUGAGGAACCACUCCCGCGAAUUGGUUAUCUUCCUUCGCUCUUGAAAAGAGUAUCGCCAACAUAUCCACAACUAUAUUAAAGAGAAUAGGAGAAAGGGGAUCACCUUGUCGAAGGCCCUUAUGUGUAGUAAAGAAAGGCCCAACUUCAUCAUUAAUUUUAAUCCCGACAUGCCCCCCCAGAAACAAUAGAUUGAAUCCAAGCACACCAUUUCGGUGAGAAACCUUUCAUUCGCAAAGCCUGUUGUAGGAACGACCAAUUUACUUUAUCAUAGGCUUUUUCAAAGUCAAGUUUUAGAAUUAGGCCACUCAAUUUUUUCCUUUGCAUCUCAUGGAUAGUCUCAUGAAGCACGAUUACACCUUCAAGGAUAUUGCGACCAGGCAUGAAUGCGGUCUGCGAGGGAUUAAUAAGCUUAUCUGCAACCACCCCUAUUUUGUUUGUUAGGACUUUAGUAAUAAUCUUAAAACUGUUGGGUCUAUGCUUCGGCGCCGAAGGUCUUCAAGUGAGAAGCGGCUUAAAAAGAGUGAGCAGGUAUCUUCGGACUCGUAUCAGAAAGGGAAAAGCUACAAAGGUUGACACAGCGCCGAAGCUGUGAAGCAGGAAAGCUUCGGCAUGUUCGCAGAAAAGGGAACCGACUUAAAGAUGAAAAGGCCAUUUAGACCUCGAUAGAGUGCUAUAGAAUUAUCACCAAAUGUAAAGGGCAUGUAUGUAAUUUUGUAUGGGUUGUACCCCGUGCCUAUAAAUAGGUGAACAGUACCCCCGUACUGUUCACGUGGACUUGGCGUUUGCUUUUGCGUCACACUUGUAUUUUCAUCUCCUUCCAAGCCGAAGGUACAUUUAUAAUUCGAUAUUGUUUUU